CAGGAAGAGAGAGGAACCGUGCCACAUGACUCAGCCACCAAGCAGCCCUAUGGAGAGGCCAAUGUGGAGAGAAACUGAGGCCUUCCACCAAAAGCCAGCACCAACUUGCUAUCCAUGUGAGUGAACCAGCUUGCAGUACAGAGUGGUCAACCCCAGUCAAGCUUUCAGAUAACUACAAGCCUAGUUGACAUCUUGACUACAACUUCAAGAGAGACAUCAAGGCAGAACUGCUUCGCUAAACUGCUCUUGAAUUCUUGACCCACAGAAACUGAGAGAGAG
Molecule: long non-coding RNA, 279 nt
Filed under: Homo sapiens (human)
Lineage: Eukaryota; Metazoa; Chordata; Mammalia; Primates; Hominidae
Description: non-protein coding LINC01154:10
Source: RNAcentral